AGGAGGAACAACCACAGUGGCAUCAGCCAGCCCUGGAGCCCUGGUUUCAGCUCCUGCAGUAACUACGGAGCUCUUAGUCUGCAGGGGCCUGGAUGCUCCGGGGGCGG
Molecule: microRNA precursor, 107 nt
Filed under: Canis lupus familiaris (dog)
Lineage: Eukaryota; Metazoa; Chordata; Mammalia; Carnivora; Canidae
Also listed under: 1 other name
Description: mir-8834 microRNA precursor family
Rfam family: mir-8834 microRNA precursor family
Source: Rfam by way of RNAcentral